UACGUAGGGUGCACGCGUUAAUCGGAAUUACUGGGCGUAAAGGGCGCGUAGGCGGCCUGUUAAGUCGAACGUGAAAUCCCCGGGCUCAACCCGGGAACUGCGUCCGAUACUGGCAGGCUUGAAUUCGGGAGAGGGAUGCGGAAUUCCAGGUGUAGCGGUGAAAUGCGUAGAUAUCUGGAGGAACACCGGUGGCGAAGGCGGCAUCCUGGACCGAGAUUGACGCUGAGGCGCGAAAGCCAGGGGAGCAAACGGG
Molecule: ribosomal RNA, 253 nt
Filed under: uncultured bacterium
Lineage: Bacteria
Description: partial 16S ribosomal RNA
Rfam family: Bacterial small subunit ribosomal RNA
Source: RNAcentral